CCGGCCCCCAGCACGCACAGCACCCUCGCACUCGGAAGGACGCACGCAGGCGCCGCCCGCCCGCCCGAGCGCCGCCUCCCGCCGGCAAGGAGGAGCGCCGGCUGCAAUCUCCGUGUCAUCUUGGUUGCGGAACGUGGGGCAUCUUCUUCAACACCGGCCAUUGCUGCAGGCGGCAAUGAGCAACCUGCAAAACCCGUAGCGGCCCAACCCCCUCUCAGCUCCCCGGUGCCGGCCGUCCUCGCCGCCUGCCGGCCCCAACCAACCCGCGCCCACCGCCGCUGUCAACCAACUCCCGUUCCUGACCCUCACCCACCCCACUCCACGCCGCAGCGCGCCCUGCACUUGCCAGCCCCCACCGGCGCAUUCGGCGUCGUCCUUCCCUCUCAUGCCCGGGCCACUUGCCUCCCCACGCCGACAUGUCCCGCAGCGCGAGCGCCGCCCGCGUCGGUGCUUGGAGCUGGAGCGCGCCAUCGCUGGCCGCGUCCGCUCGGGAAGCCUCGGCCUCGACGACGCCGUCAAGAUGUUCGACGAAUUGCUCCCCCACGCCAGGCCGGCCUCGGUUCGCGCCUUCAACCAGCUCCUCACCGCCGUCUCUCGCGCCCAGGGCAGGGGCUCCUCCUCCUCUGAGCUCGUCCCCUCCCUCUUCAACCGGAUGGCCCGUGCUUGCUCCGACAAGGUAGCUCCCGACCUGCACACCUACAGCAUCCUCAUCAACCGCUUCUGCCGCAUCGGACGCCUGGAGCUUGGUUUCGCCGCCUUUGGCCUCAUCCUUAAGACAGGCUGGAGGGUGAAUGGCAUAGUCAUCAAUCAACUGCUCAAAGGUGUCUGUGACAGAAAGUGCGUGUCUGAGGCCAUGGACAUAUUGCUCCGACGAAUGCCUGAGUUUGGCUGCACGCCAGAUGUAGUUUCAUACAGCACAGUUCUAAAGGGUUUAUGCAACGAAAAGAGAGCUGAGGAGGCACUUGAGCUGCUCCACAUGAUGGCCGAUGAUGGAGGUGGUAGCUGCCCACCAAAUGUCGUGGCGUACACCACCGUCAUCAAUGGCUUGUUUAGAGACGGUCAGGUGGACAAAGCUUACAACCUAUUUCGUGAAAUGGAUGACCGGGGGAUUUCGCCGACUGUUGUGACCUACACCACAGUCAUUGAUGGCCUGAGCAAAGCUCAAGCAGUUGACAGGGCCCAGGGUGUCCUUCAGCAGAUGAUUCAUAAAGGUGUCAAGCCAAACAAUUGGACAUAUAAUUGUCUGAUCCAUGGAUAUUGCUCUUCAGGACAGGGGAAAGAGGUGGUUCGAAUGCUCAAAGAAAUGUCCGCGCAUGGUCAUAAGCCAGAUACUGUCACUUGUACUUUGCUGCUGGAUCACCUUUGCAAGAGUGGAAGAUGCACAGAGGCUAGAAAGAUUUUUGAUUCUAUGAUUGAAAAGGGCACAAAACCUGAUGUAACUACAUAUGGCGUUCUGCUUCAUGGUUAUGCUACCAAAGGAGCUCUUUCUGAUAUGCAUGGCCUCUUGGAUUUGAUGGUAGAAAAUGAUGUUUCACCUGACCAUCAUAUCUUUAACAUAGUUCUCUGUGCGUAUGCUAAAGGUGGUAUGAUAGAUGAGGCAAUGCAUAUAUUUGACCAAAUGAGGCAGCAAGGGUUGAGUCCUAAUGUAGUCAGCUAUGCAGCAUUAAUAGAUGCACUUUGCAAGUUGGGAAGAGUGGAUGAGGCAAUGCUUAAAUUCGAUCAGAUGAUCCAUGAAGGGGUGACUCCUGGUAUCGUUAUUUUUAGCUCACUAGUUUAUGGACUGUGCACUGUUGACAAAUGGGAGAAGGCCGAGGAAUUAUUUUCUGAAAUGCUGAAUCAAGGGAUCCAUCCCGAUGCCACGUUCUUCACCACAAUAAUGCGUAACCUCUGCAAUGGAGGAUGGGUCAUGGAAGCUCAGAGUCUCCUUGACUUGAUGGUACAUGUAGGUGUGAGACCUAAUGUUAUCUCAUAUACUACAUUAAUAGAUGGCUACUGCUUAGCUGGUAGGAUGAAGGAAGCUAUGAAGUUACUUGAUGCUAUGGUCCGAGUUGGCUUGAAACCAAAUACCGUUUCUUUUAAUACUUUGCUUCAUGGCUAUUGUAGAGCUGGCAGGAUAGAGGAAGCUGUGAAGUUACUUGAUGCUAUGGUCCGAGUUGGCUUGAAACCAGAUACCGUUUCUUUUAGUACUUUGCUUCAUGGCUAUUGUAGAGCUGGCAGGAUAGAUGAUGCAGUUAGACUAUUCAGAGAAAUGUUGAGCAAUGAAGUUAAGCCUGGAAUUGUCACUUAUAACAUUGUACUUCAUGGUUUGUUUCAGUCUGGGAAGUUUUCUGAAGCAAAAGAACUCUAUCUCAAUAUGAUCAAAAGUGGAAUGCAGCUGAACAUUUACACGUACAACACAAUUCUGAAUGGUCUUUGCAAAAAUAAAUGUGUUGAUGAGGCAUUUAAAAUAUUUCAGAGUCAAUGUUCUAAGGAUUUUCAACUUGACAUCAUUACCUUCAAUAUUAUGAUCGAUGCUUUGCUCAAAAGUGGCAGAAAGGAAGAUGCUAUGGAUAUGUUCACUGCUAUCUCUGCCCAUGGUUUAGGUCCACAUGUUGUGACCUAUCGCUUAAUGAUAGAAAAUCUCAUAAAAGAAGGGUUGCUAGAAGAGUCUGACAAUCUGUUUUCAGCAAUGGAAAAGAGUGGAUGCAGUCCAGACUCAUGUAUGCUAAAUGCUCUAGUUAGGAGGCUGUUGCAUAGAGGUGAGAUAAUGAGGGUUGGGGUUUACCUCUCCAAAAUUGAUGAGAUGAACUUCUCACUUGAGGCAGCCACUACUUCCUUGCUAAUAUCAGUUUUGUCGAGGGAGGAAUAUCAGCACCAUGCAAAAUCCCUGCCUGAAAAGUAUCAUUUUCUUAAGGAGAUCAAUAAAUGAGGAUUUUUUUUCAGAGGAAUUGGAUUCUCAACUGUGUUGAGACAUCUUUAUUCUCAACUGUGUUGAGACAUCUUUAUGUGGCGCGUAAAUUUGUUGGAGUGACUAUGUCUGUCUAUUGCAGUGAUUAUUUCUGUCUCAUGCUCUAAUUUACUUACCAUAUUCUACGGUCUCCUUUGUUUAGAGAAAUGUUAUCAUGAUAGUGCUCUUCGGUAUGAAGUUUAUCACCAAGGAAAAAUUAUCUUAUUUUCAGUUGCACUUAUCUUUAUAACAGGGAUCAAUUUACAUGUUAAUGGUUCAAGAAAGUUUGGAUGCUUUUUGUUGCAUAAUUUUCAGGUUGGUCAUGCUAGUCAUGGAAUCUCAAGCACCUAUUCUGAACAAUUUUCAGUGAGAUCAAAUGUAUGCUGCCAUACAAGCACAAAAAAAUAUUUUGCCCAACAAGCUGAAAUUGGCCUGAAUCUGGCAUACUUGCGUGGUACUCCUCCAUUUCUCUUUCAGUCUGCAUAACGAUCUCUAGAAAGCUUGUGCAAGAAUGCAUCAGAACAAGAUUCCAAGCCUUCGCUCCAGUGGUAUAUAUAAAUGGACGUCAUUAUCUGAAUGUCACCACACAAAAUGCGCAACAGAAAGAACACCUCAAGUCCCAGUUUCUGAAGGAACAAUCACUGGGAGGGGAGACGGAUGGAAGGGAAGAGACUUGCAGCUGCUGCUGUGUGGUGCAUGCUCGUCAUGCUGUCCGUGUCAGGCCAGCAGCAGGUGGCCGGAUUCACAGGGGGUUCUGUUGGUGCUUCGGCAGCUGCUACCCUGGCUGCAGGGAGGGCAACCCAGCGUGGCUCUGCACAAUCAAGUGCGUGGAGUCCUGCACCGUGCCCAUCGCCGCGUUCGGUGCCGGCGACUGCUCCAAGAUCUGCCUCGCCUCCAUCUGCGGCGCGGCCGAGACCGGGACAACUGAUGGCGGUGCUGCAGCAGCUUGCGUUGAUGAUUGCACCGUGAACUGGAACUCGUCUACUACUAUACAUGGCACUCGUCUCCAAUACGCAAAGCCACACCUCAGUCACAGUUCUUGGCCCAAGUAAACUGUGUGUGCCGUUCUUUCAAGAAAAGGGGGAAAAAACUCGUGUGGCACCCGGAACUAAGACGAGCUGCAUUGUAGCCAAAGGAAAUUCUGAAGCCAUGCAUGGAUACAGAAAUGGAAACUCCAACCUGUCCAACGGAAAGGGUUUCAGGUUGAGGUCGAGGUAUCAGAGAUCCAAUGUGACGAGGAGCAACGACAACCACCUGGUCUCCCUGACACUCAUCUCGCUCGUUCUGUUGAUCUCCGAAUCAGAUCGCUCGCCGUCCUAUCUUUUUCUUGUGUUUUCUCCGGAAUUUCUAAAUAAUUCUCACAGAAUUUCUACUGCU
Panicum hallii is the source of this 4303-nucleotide RNA transcript. It is a transcript of the gene named protein Rf1, mitochondrial-like, with no coding region annotated. The transcript is spliced from 5 exons. Lineage: Eukaryota; Viridiplantae; Streptophyta; Magnoliopsida; Poales; Poaceae. The record is from RefSeq and is a predicted model, not a curated record.